Molecule: microRNA precursor, 277 nt
Filed under: Medicago truncatula (barrel medic)
Lineage: Eukaryota; Viridiplantae; Streptophyta; Magnoliopsida; Fabales; Fabaceae
Description: MIR2655 microRNA precursor family
Rfam family: MIR2655 microRNA precursor family
Source: Rfam by way of RNAcentral
CCCUUAACUAUUAAAAGUUUCGUUUUGGUCCAUUAACUUAUUUUUUGGUUUCAUUUUGGUCCCUUAACUCUUCCUCCGUCAACCACUUUGGUCUUUUAUGUUAGGAUGAAUGUAUUAGAGUUAAGGACCAAAACGAAAUCAAAAAAUAAGUUAAGGGACCAAAAUGAAACCAAAAAAUAAGUUAAGGGACCAAAACGAAACUUUUAAUAGUUAAGGGACCAAAACGAAACCAAAAAUAAGUUAAGGGACCAAAACGAAACUUUUAAUAGUUAAGGGA